RNAcentral lists this ribosomal RNA (253 nucleotides) under uncultured bacterium. RNAcentral describes it as "partial 16S ribosomal RNA". It matches the Rfam family "Bacterial small subunit ribosomal RNA", at positions 524 to 776 of the family's 1533-position model. The record is from RNAcentral.
UACAGAGGUGGCGAGCGUUAUUCGGAAUUAUUGGGCGUAAAGGGCGCGUAGGCGGCCAAGCAAGUCCUGGGUGAAAUCCCUCGGCUCAACCGAGGAACUGCCUCGGAAACUGCAUGGCUUGAGGCCGGGAGAGGGUAGCGGAAUUCCCAGUGUAGCGGUGAAAUGCGUAGAUAUCGGGAGGAACACCAGUGGCGAAGGCGACUACCUGGCCUGUUCUUGACGCUGAGGCGCGAAAGCUAGGGGAGCAAACGGG